This 464-nucleotide ribosomal RNA is filed under the name uncultured bacterium. Its description in RNAcentral is "partial 16S ribosomal RNA". It matches the Rfam family "Bacterial small subunit ribosomal RNA", at positions 28 to 506 of the family's 1533-position model. The record is from RNAcentral.
GACGAACGCUGGCGGCGUGCUUAACACAUGCAAGUCGAACGGAAAGGCCCCCUUGUGGGGUACUCGAGUGGCGAACGGGUGAGUAACACGUGAGUAACCUACCCUUGACUUUGGGAUAACUUCAGGAAACUGGGGCUAAUACCGGAUAGGAGCUCCUGCUGCAUGGUGGGGGUUGGAAAGUUUCGGCGGUUGGGGAUGGACUCGCGGCUUAUCAGCUUGUUGGUGGGGUAGUGGCUCACCAAGGCUUUGACGGGUAGCCGGCCUGGGAGGGUGACCGGCCACAUUGGGACUGAGGUACGGCCCAGAGGCCUACGGGAGGCAGCAGUGGGGAAUAUUGCACAAUGGGCGGAAGCCGGAUGCAGCAACGCCGCGUGCGGGAUGACGGCUUGCGGGUAGUAAACCGCUUUCGCCUGUGACGAAGCGUGAGUGACGGUAAUGGGAAAAGAAGCACCGGCUAACUACGU